CGCUGGGAUUACAGGCGUGAGCCAUGCAUAUUUCCUUGUUAAUGAUAACUACAAUAGCAAAGAGUUAUUGAGUGAACACUGACAAUGACCCUAUGAGGUAGAGAUGUUAGGUAUCAUCAGACAAACUUAAAGAUGAUCUGACAAUGUCAUUUUCCAAGGGACUGAUAGAAAGAUUGAGUAUCAUGAAAUCAGAACAGACAACAGAGAAUCAGAUUUGGACUGAAUCAGAAUAA
This 233-nucleotide long non-coding RNA is filed under the name Gorilla gorilla gorilla (western lowland gorilla). RNAcentral describes it as "lncRNA (ENSGGOG00000044529.1)". Lineage: Eukaryota; Metazoa; Chordata; Mammalia; Primates; Hominidae. The record is from RNAcentral.